Molecule: ribosomal RNA, 253 nt
Filed under: uncultured bacterium
Lineage: Bacteria
Description: partial 16S ribosomal RNA
Rfam family: Bacterial small subunit ribosomal RNA
Source: RNAcentral
UACGUAGGGUGCAAGCGUUAAUCGGAAUUACUGGGCGUAAAGCGUGCGCAGGCGGCUUUGCAAGACAGAUGUGAAAUCCCCGGGCUUAACCUGGGAACUGCAUUUGUGACUGCAUGGCUGGAGUGCGGCAGAGGGGGAUGGAAUUCCGCGUGUAGCAGUGAAAUGCGUAGAUAUCUGGAGGAACACCGGUGGCGAAGGCGGCAUCCUGGACCGGCAUUGACGCUGAGGCGCGAAAGCCAGGGGAGCAAACGGG